CCCCCACAUAUAUAUUGUUCCUAGAGUCGCCACGAUGUCUGCAUGUGUGUCAAUGUGUAUCUGUGUGUGACUGUGUUUGUGUGUGUAUGUCCGUGUAUGUGUAUACAGGGAGUGCAGAAUUAUUAGGCAAGUUGUAUUUUUGAGGAUUAAUUUUAUUAUUGAACAACAACCAUGUUCUCAAUGUACCCAAAAAACUCAUUAAUAUCAAAGCUGAAUAUUUUUGGAAGUAGUUUUUAGUUUGUUUUUAGUUUUAGCUAUGUUAGGGGGAUAUCUGUGUGUGCAGGUGACUAUUACUGUGCAUAAUUAUUAGGCAACUUAACAAAAAACAAAUAUAUACCCAUUUCAAUUAUUUAUUAUUACCAGUGAAACCAAUAUAACAUCUCAACAUUCACAAAUAUACAUUUCUGACAUUCAAAAACAAAACAAAAGCAAAUCAGUGACCAAUAUAGCCACCUUUCUUUGCAAGGACACUCAAAAGCCUGCCAUCCAUGGAUUCUGUCAGUGUUUUGAUCUGUUCACCAUCAACAUUGCGUGCAGCAGCAACCACAGCCUCCCAGACACUGUUCAGAGAGGUGUACUGUUUUCCCUCCUUGUAAAUCUCACAUUUGAUGAUGGACCACAGGUUCUCAAUGGGGUUCAGAUCAGGUGAACAAGGAGGCCAUGUCAUUAGAUUUUCUUCUUUUAUACCCUUUCUUGCCAGCCACGCUGUGGAGUACUUGGACGCGUGUGAUGGAGCAUUGUCCUGCAUGAAAAUCAUGUUUUUCUUGAAGGAUGCAGACUUCUUCCUGUACCACUGCUUGAAGAAGGUGUCUUCCAGGAACUGGCAGUAGGACUGGGAGUUGAGCUUGACUCCAUCCUCAACCCGAAAAGGCCCCACAAGCUCAUCUUUGAUGAUACCAGCCCAAACCAGUACUCCACCUCCACCUUGCUGGCGUCUGAGUCGGACUGGAGCUCUCUGCCCUUUACCAAUCCAGCCACGGGCCCAUCCAUCUGGCCCAUCAAGACUCACUCUCAUUUCAUCAGUCCAUAAAACCUUAGAAAAAUCAGUCUUGAGAUAUUUCUUGGCCCAGUCUUGACGUUUCAGCUUGUGUGUCUUGUUCAGUGGUGGUUGUCUUUCAGCCUUUCUUACCUUGGCCAUGUCUCUGAGUAUUGCACACCUUGUGCUUUUGGGCACUUCCAGUGAUGUUGCAGCUCUGAAAUAUGGCCAAACUGGUGGCAAGUGGCAUCGUGGCAGCUGCACGCUUGACUUUUCUCAGUUCAUGGGCAGUUAUUUUGCGCCUUGGUUUUUCCACACGCUUCUUGCGACCCUGUUGACUAUUUUGAAUGAAACGCUUGAUUGUUCGAUGAUCACGCUUCAGAAGCUUUGCAAUUUUAAGAGUGCUGCAUCCCUCUGCAAGAUAUCUCACUAUUUUUGACUUUUCUGAGCCUGUCAAGUCCUUCUUUUGACCCAUUUUGCCAAAGGAAAGGAAGUUGCCUAAUAAUUAUGCACACCUGAUAUAGGGUGUUGAUGUCAUUAGACCACACCCCUUCUCAUUACAGAGAUGCACAUCACCUAAUAUGCUUAAUUGGUAGUAGGCUUUCGAGCCUAUACAGCUUGGAGUAAGACAACAUGCAUAAAGAGGAUGAUGUGGUCAAAAUACUAAUUUGCCUAAUAAUUCUGCACUCCCUGUAUGUGCAGACAUCUAAAAAUCUCGCCAACACUACACACAAAUACACUCUUGCAUUUCAACGUCAACACUACAUACAAACCCCACCAUUAUAUAUAACCAUACCACUGCAUUCAAAUACCACACAACACACAAAUGCAUGCUUGCAUUCAAACGCCAACACUACAAACACACCGCUACAUUCACUCACAUAUACUCCAUACAAAAACAUGCAUACAUUCAAAAACACAAACACUGCUUAGUGCUAAAUACAUUAAAACAUUUUUUAGUUGUUUUUAUAUUUAAA
Non-coding RNA from Pelobates cultripes (western spadefoot toad), 1953 nucleotides. The record is from the annotation of a GenBank genome assembly. NCBI's taxonomy places the organism in Eukaryota, Metazoa, Chordata, Amphibia, Anura, Pelobatidae.